Ribosomal RNA from Sinocyclocheilus grahami, 117 nucleotides. NCBI's taxonomy places the organism in Eukaryota, Metazoa, Chordata, Actinopteri, Cypriniformes, Cyprinidae. The record is from Ensembl.
UGCAACAGUCAUAUCACCCUGCAGCCCAAGACUGGUUGCCCACUGAAGCUAAGCAGGGUUGAGCCUGGUCAGUACCUGGAUGGGAGACCUCCUGGGAAAACUAGGCUGCUGUUGGAA